This is a long non-coding RNA of Triticum aestivum (bread wheat), 5173 nucleotides long. RefSeq lists it as uncharacterized. NCBI's taxonomy places the organism in Eukaryota, Viridiplantae, Streptophyta, Magnoliopsida, Poales, Poaceae. The transcript has 4 exons. The record is from RefSeq and is a predicted model, not a curated record.
UAGCGUGUCGCACCCCCUCCUCCUCUCCCGCAUCUCGUCCACCCUGGGAUCCGAGCGCAGAGUCGACCUUACCCAGCGGCGGCGCUCCAUUCAAUCUGCAAGAGAGAGAGAGAGAGAGAGACCGAGAGAGAGAGAGAGGAUGAGAGGGAGAAGAAGGAAAGAGAGGAGGGAGAAAGAGAGAGGAAAUAGGAGAGGGAGGCGUGGCGUCCGAUGGGAGAGGGUCACCGCCGGCGUCCGCCUGCACCGGCGAGGUCGGGUCCUCGAGCCAUGGAGGCACUCGUCAAUGGGCCCUCGCUAUUGGCCUCCCGUGCGCCGCACCGCCCCUCUUGCCGCCUCGGCUCUCUCCUCCCGCCUCGGUAGAUUGGAUCGUGGGUGCUACGCCGCCGUCGCCGACUGGAUUUGCUCCUCCAUCGUCGCCGCAAGUGAACUCCACCGUUGUCGCCAGGAAUCCGUCCCCCCUGCUGCAGCCUGCUCGUCUUCCGGUUGCUGCAGUCGGCAUCGCGGCCCUGCAGAGGGCGUUGAAUAGGGUUUGGGUGGGGUUGACUCCUAUAACGAUGGCUGGCUACAUCAACCAGCAGCUGCACCUCCUUCGACUUCCGCAAUAUCGCCCACCGAGCUGUGUUGCUGUACGAAGACCUUCUGUAUUUUGGUGGUGCCAUGGUGUUCCUCUCCAGGUUAACGAGUGUGCUCCCGGCGGCUCCAGUGAUGCGGGGUGAUUGCGCCCGGUCCAUGCUCCGGUGUCUUUGUUGGCUGAGCUGAACAAGCUACAGAGAGUGGCUUCUUUCGAGCUGGUAUAUUGGGAUAUUUAUGCACUCGUUAACGAGUGUGCUCCCGGCGGCUCCAGUGAUGCGGGGUGAUUGCGCCCGGUCCAUGCUCCGGUGUCUUUGUUGGCUGAGCUGAACAAGCUACAGAGAGUGGCUUCUUUCGAGCUGGUAUAUUGGGAUAUUUAUGCACUCGUAGGUCACACCUCAUGAAGCUACUACCGUGCAUUGAUUCUGUCGAGAUUGAUUAAAAUAACAUUUUAUUAGUUUCCUAUUACCAUUUCCCAUGAAACAUGAUGAUUAUGUUCAGUGAGGUUCUCAAUUUAAUAGUCUGAAUGCGCAUAUGUUCGAUAUUAAAUUUGAUAACAAAGACCAAUAGUUUUUGGCCCUUUGCAUGGGGUAUUCCUUUCUUUGAGAAACAUUUUUGACUAAAGCUUCUUCGAUGCCCCAUGGACGCUCAGGUUUGCUUUCAUAGAUGCAGCGAAUAUCUAAAAUGUAUUGCAGUUCAUGAGUUAUUUAGCAAUGAUAAAAUGUUCUCUAUCGUUAUUUGCUUUUAGUAUGUAAGUAACAAGCUCCCCGAGUAGUGGUGGAUCUUUAUAUUAGCACUUGACUGAGCAGUUCGACAAUGUUUAUAAUUUAUCGUUGUCAAGUCAGCCUUUGCGUGAUUCAAAAAGAACACACAGACUGCUGCACGGUACUAAAUUAUUUUUUAGCUGGGGUUGUUCAAUAGGAUUUAGAUUUUAAGCAGAAUAGGAUACAGAUCAGCGGUCCAUGUUUACAUACACUGGCAUAAGAAUUUGUUGUGCGGCAAGGAUUUGUACAUAUUUAAAGGGGAAUUAGUAGCUAACAUCUUUGUAACGGCACAUUGUUCCAUGAUUCUUCUUGUAAGAUACUAAGAUCUCUUGAUGAUGCUUUGUUUGAUGUUCUGUGUGGAAGUUAUUUGCAUUGCACUUCACUUCAGAACAUGGAGGCUAAGAGCCUCACCAAUUGGUGCCUAUUUCUUGUGUUUAUGCAAAUGGUAGCCAUUAAUGAAUACCUUGAGCUAUACGACUCCUCUGGCAGACUUCAUAUAGCUAUUGUCUAAUACGCAUUAGUAUAUAUUAUUUAUCAGUCCGGUUGCAAACUUCUCAUGCAAUAACCUUCUUUUUAUCAGUUUAGUUUAACUAUUUUUUAGAAAAGAACAUCCUUACCAAGCCUGCACAUUUUAAGGUCGUGAGGCUUCAGUUUACUCUGUUUGCCUCACUACAGGAGAACAUUCAGGUACUUAUUGAACGGUUUCACCUCUGCUAUUCCCAAGAUAUGCUCAGCCAUUUUGUACUGGCACUCUACUAAUUAUUCUGGCUGUUAUCCAUGUUACUGUCAUUUAUCAUGAUAAAAGUCGACUCACGGCUGUGCCAGGUUAACUUAGUUCAAUUUUGAUAUGCCUAGAGUUCAGAUGUUGGGCUAUAAUUUUGAUAUGCUUUUGGUUAUGUAAUUGCAGAAAAAACAAAUUAUAGCCAUAUUUUGUAGCGAUCAUAUUAUUGUGAUGCUGGUUCUCAAAUUUAUGCGGGUACUUCUCGUGUUUUGUUAAUAGCUCACCAGUUUCAUUCCCUUUUGGUUUUUGAAUAUACAUCCGUGCCCCUCUUUUAUAUCUUCUUGGUUAUUUCUUAUCUUUUUAGUUCUCAUUUGUACAUAAGUAAUACUAGCAUCAGUCUGUGUGUUCUUACAUAACAGGUAGUCUCUAAGCUACCGAUUCAGUACCAAGCUUACGUUGUAUUAUCUUUUAGGCUGAAAGCAAAAGGCAAAAACAAUGAACAAUGUAAAAGCCCUCAACACUGAAGUACAGUCUAAGAAGAAAAGUACAAGGAAGAAAAUGAAAAAGCAGCAAACAUCUGAUAAUAUGCAAAAUCCCAUUUAGAGUAUGAACCAUAGUGAAAAAAGAUUCAGUUUAGUUACUAAAAGUUCUUUACAUGCAGAUCACUUUCUACAUGUUUCUGCAAUUCUCUCCUAUUAUAUGGUUUGGUGUUUGUCCCGGUGUGCCGUGUUUGGUAUCCCAUUUCAUCAUCUUUAAGUUGAAUGGACACUAUUUUGUUUAUCAAUCACUUUUGAACUAAUAUUCUUUCAUCAAGUCUUUUAUACAUAAAAAAACUUAACUGGAAUUUAAGAAAGUUUGACACUGCAUCACUGGUUCAUUCAAUAAAAUUUUCUGCUCUCCAAUUUAACUGUCUAUGGCUGAUUGUGAUAGUGAAGGUCGAUAUUUUGAUUUCUAAUAGAAUAUACAUCUUAGUUUUCCUCUAUCUAUGUAGAGGGCUCAAGAAAGAGACAAGAACUUGUGCUUCAAGCGGCAAAGAUAGCCAGCCUAAAUGAAUCGAAACAAGAACAAGCAUCGGGAAAUUACAGAUGAGGAAGUGCAGCUGGUAUCGUCACUCCCUUUUUGCCCCAAAUCAACCACAGAAAAAACUGCUUGACAAUCAUCUUCUUGCCAAUUUAUAAUUGAAUUCCUACUAUGAUUCGCUUCCUAAAAGAAAUAGCAAUCAUCUUGAAACAAGUAAUUUAUCUAGCUACAAAUGCUUAUUCUAUACUGAUUAUGCUGCCUCCAAUUGCGGACAGUGGUUUAUAGUUGACACUUUAGUCUACAUGUCUGCUAAUAUUUACAUGUCUGCAUGACCAAAAAAAUCAGAUAGUCUACUUAAACUUUAGUGAUGCAGUUAUUCUACUUCUUUUGGCUAGAUGUUCAGCAAGGGUCGCACAUCUGAAACAAGUAACUGGCUUGCUUUUGGUACACGUUCCCUGUAUAUAACUCGCUUUUCUAUUUCUUGAGGACAACACCAUAUAGAGCUUUUAGAGGCUGGUCCUGGUUUUAGAUACAAAGCACCUGAUUGUUCUCUGUAAAUUUAUUCUGCUCCUUACAUGAGGGUCUGUGCUACUUUCAACUCGAAUGCAGAUUUUACUGUAUGAUGUAAAUUAAAUCGUUCGUUUCUACUGCAUGUUAAAGGAGUUGGCCAAUAUUGGCAUGAAGCUAUAAAAGCUAGCUGGCUAUGGAGAAUUUUGCCACUGGUGAUGAAUUGCCACCUUUUCCUUGCUUGCCAUCAUGCCAUGAUUCGAAAUUUAGUUGUCAGGCUAGGUAAAGCACGCUGAGACUACCAAAAAGGAUUACGUGCGCUCCCAUCAUGCAUUUGCACCUCUAAACUUAGUUUGUUGACUAAAUUGUGUAGUUCCCUUUUGCCGAAGAAUGUUCUGGACUAGAUAGCCAGCUUGCUGUUGCUGUUUGUAACUUUUCAGUCGGGCUCUUAUGUUAAAGCUUAAACCAUAUAUAUGUAAUGUGUGCGGUGGUUUGUAGGACUUCAUAGGUGUUGUACUAAAAUUCAGUUUUAAUGGAGUUCAGUUCAGUUAUGUUCUAGACUAGAUAUCAUUCAAAAAAUGGCCACACGUGGAUGUAGAGUCAUAAAAGAGUCAGGGAAGAGGGAGGUACCUUGGUAGAUUUCCCAGGGGCAUUGGCAAUGUAAGCGACAGGGCACCCCUCCGCCUGCCUUGCUCAUUCACACUUCUUUUUUGUUUGGGGAGGGGCGGGUUGCAAUCUAGGCCGGGCGGGACACUGGAAACUGUGAGCAAAAAGUUAAUCCAACCUGAGCUCCAAAUGAAAUUAGAUGAUUUUUUUCCAAAACUACUGUAUGAAGCGAAAACAAGUAUGUACAUGAGUCGACCAGACAAUGGACAAAAAUCCGGCCUGAACCGAAAUAAAAAAACAGAUGUCUGUUGAUUAGACACUCCCAUAAUACAUGCCAGGAAUGUGUUUUCAUAUUGUUCAUUUUGUGGAUAUUUGAUAUAAGCAUAAUUGUAUCCUGAUAUUUGGCUUGGUACUCCAUUGUAUAGCUAAUAUAACUGAGUUUCAGAGAAGGUCAGACCAUGCCUUGUCUAUACAUAUCUAAUAUAUUUAUCUUGAUAUUGCAGAAGAUUUUGUUUUGUUCUUAUAUCUAAUGCUUGAUCUGUUGUAUAGGCUAAUAUAGGUCUUGCAAUGUGCAUGUCAGGGACAUAAGUUGCUAAAGGAAGCUCCGACAUUAUAAUCUUAGAUGAUGACUUCACAUCUCUUGUAGAAAUUAGAACUGAGGGCCUUUUAAAAUGAGUCCUGCAUAAUAGUGUUGUUCUGUGGGAUGCAGAAUUUUUGUUUGUACUGAUUUACGUACUGAUUUCAUCAUCAUAUGACUACAAUGAAGAUGUGUGUAUAAAUAUUACUAACUGAUGAUACUUCGCAUCAGGGAUUUCAAUUCUGUGGGCCCUCCUUCAGAUUGCAUGGGAAUGUGAGGCUUAAAAGUUUCAACCCUGUGCAAUGUGCUUCUCGGGUGUGGAUUUGUGUCUGACUAAUUAACGGUUCUGUUAAUACUGAUAUGUACUUGUACAUUAUAUGGGUAUUGCAUUGCUUGUACUUAUAGUAA